ACGCUCGACACCUACGGUAGGCAGCAGUGAGGAAUAUUGGUCAAUGGGCGCUAGCCUGAACCAGCCAAGUAGCGUGAAGGAUGAAGGCUCUAUGGGUCGUAAACUUCUUUUAUAUAAGAAUAAAGUGCAGUAUGUAUACUGUUUUGUAUGUAUUAUAUGAAUAAGGAUCGGCUAACUCCGUGCCAGCAGCCGCGGUAAUCUGAGCGGGCGUGGCAAGGC
RNAcentral lists this ribosomal RNA (219 nucleotides) under uncultured bacterium. Its description in RNAcentral is "partial 16S ribosomal RNA". It matches the Rfam family "Bacterial small subunit ribosomal RNA", at positions 326 to 544 of the family's 1533-position model. The record is from RNAcentral.